This 75-nucleotide transfer RNA is filed under the name Escherichia coli. RNAcentral describes it as "tRNA-Arg". It matches the Rfam family "tRNA". Rfam says of the family: Transfer RNA (tRNA) molecules are approximately 80 nucleotides in length. The record is from RNAcentral. Lineage: Bacteria; Pseudomonadati; Pseudomonadota; Gammaproteobacteria; Enterobacterales; Enterobacteriaceae.
GCGUUGUUAGCUCAGCCGGACAGAGCAAUUGCCUUCUAAGCAAUCGGUCAGUGGUUCGACUCCACCUACAACGCC